AGAAUCAACGCUGGCGGCGUGCCUAACACAUGCAAGUCGAACGAGAAAGUGGAGCAAUCCAUGAGUAAAGUGGCGACCGGGUGAGUAACACGUGACUAACCUACCUUCGAGUGGGGGAUAACAUCGGGAAACCGAUGCUAAUACCGCAUAAUAUCGCAAGAUCAAAGCAGCAAUGCGCUGGAAGAGGGGGUCGCGGCUGAUUAGCUAGUUGGCGGGGUAACGGCCCACCAAGGCGAAGAUCGGUAGCCGGCCUGAGAGGGCGCACGGCCACACUGGAACUGAAACACGGUCCAGACUCCUACGGGAGGCAGCAGUGGGGAAUUUUGCGCAAUGGGGGAAACCCUGACGCAGCAACGCCGCGUGGAGGAUGAAGCCCCUUGGGGCGUAAACUCCUUUCGACCAAGACGAUAAUGACGGUACUGGUGGAAGAAGCACCGGCUAACUCUGCGCCAGCAGCCGC
RNAcentral lists this ribosomal RNA (460 nucleotides) under uncultured bacterium. RNAcentral's name for it is "SSU rRNA". It matches the Rfam family "Bacterial small subunit ribosomal RNA", at positions 26 to 518 of the family's 1533-position model. The record is from RNAcentral.